RNAcentral lists this ribosomal RNA (408 nucleotides) under uncultured bacterium. RNAcentral's name for it is "partial 16S ribosomal RNA". It matches the Rfam family "Bacterial small subunit ribosomal RNA", at positions 28 to 526 of the family's 1533-position model. The record is from RNAcentral.
GACGAACGCUGGCGGCGUGCUUAACACAUGCAAGUCGAACGAAGUGGCGAACGGGUGAGUAACGCGUAAUCAACCUGCCCUUCAGCGGGGGACAACAGUUGGAAACGACUGCUAAUACCACAUACUGAAGGCGGGGAUUGCGUCGGAUUAGCUAGUUGGAGGGGUAACGGCCCACCCAGGCGAUGAUCAGUAGCCUGUCUGAGAGGAUGAACGGCCACAUUGGGACUGAGACACGGCCCAGACGCCUACGGGAGGCAGCAGUGGGGAAUCGUCCGCAAUGGACGAAAGUCUGACGGAGCAACGCCGCGUGAGUGAGGACGGCCUUCGGGUUGUAAAGCUCUGUUAAUCGGGACGCGGUACCGGAAUAGAAAGCCACGGCUAACUACGUGCCAGCAGCCGCGGUAAUAC